Long non-coding RNA from Oryzias melastigma (Indian medaka), 1504 nucleotides. RefSeq lists it as uncharacterized. NCBI's taxonomy places the organism in Eukaryota, Metazoa, Chordata, Actinopteri, Beloniformes, Adrianichthyidae. The transcript has 4 exons. The record is from RefSeq and is a predicted model, not a curated record.
UGGGGCUACUGGUGUAAACUAGGGGCCCAGACGUUUUCUGCCACAUAAGUUCUCUGGUGGGGGUCCAGGGUCGGUCGUAGGCUCCCAGAAUCCCAACCUGAACGAAAACAUCACUAAUCAACUUGAACACGGCUUGUUGUACUUCUGACUUUGCACCUGCUCAGAGUAGAAUCCGUUUGGAAGACAUUUGACGGCGUUUCUCUUCAGGAGAAAUGACGAUUAUAAUUCCAGCGAUGAAGUGAGAUCAGAAUUGACUUUAAUGAUCAGAUGAUCAGAAAUGUUUGGACGAAGAUCUUGGAGCUGACAGAAAAGCAGCAGAUGACGUCAGGAGCUGGUUGUCAUGGAGAUCCAGAUGAAGAUGAUGAUGGAAGAACAAGAACUUCUCUGCUUCCUUUGGUUUCCUCUCAAAUCUGCUGCCAGCCAAAGACAAAGGAAGAAACCGCAGAAAACUUUGGGUCCCACGCCAACCAGCCGCCCGAGUUAGCGAGCGCCGCUGCCCAGCGAGUCCCCCCCCCCGUCUUCCUCUUUAACAUCACCAUAUCACAAAGUAUUCAAUCACCUGCACUGACUCACACCUGAACUGCAGCUCUUCUGGGAAUAAUGUUGAGGAGUUUGUAGGAAUUCUGGACGUUCACCGAUGAUGGUGAGAGUCUGGCGCUCAUGGAAACCUAUCCCAUGAUGCUCUCUGUUGACUGUACUUGGGCUGAUCUGAAGGUCACAUAAAGGGCAGAGCUGCAGAAAGUCGGUGACCUCUUUGACCUUCAGCAUCCUCUGACCCCCCAUCAGUUUCCGUGGUCGUCCACUUGGUGUCUGAGUUGUUCCAAACUCUUCCACGUUGUUCUGACGGAGCUGACAGGAGACUGGAGGAUCUAGGAUACUCUCUCCUGAUUGGUUGUUCAGGUUUCCUCCUCUGACAGUUCCUCGCUGGAAUUCCCCGAGAGCGGAACGUUCUUCACUGAUGUCUCUGGGUUUAUUCACCUGUGCGCCGGCCAGGUGAUCGGGACGCCUGAUUCUGAUCUCCUGGAUGGUGAGCCGAUACUUCUGGUAAUAUAGUGCAGAUGGAGAUGUUCGAAGCCGCCAUGACCCACAGAGAAGGGCUCACCUGUGGUUCCAGUGACAUCAACUCUAUCCCCCAAAUGAUGUUAUUAUUGUUAUAUAAUCAUCACUAAACUCAGUUAAACUCUUCUAAUCAGCUUUAAAGUUCAUUUUAUGUUUGUUUGUUUUGAGCAGCACCAUUUAAUCAAAUAAUAAAUAAAUAAAAAUAUCUCAAUAGAAAUAAAAGUAAAAAGCAGCGUAAUCUGACCCGGUUGGUUCUCCAGACAUGAAACAGGAAACAGUUAGAAAAUGAAACCAUCAGAAAUAUUUCCAGAUGUUCAAAACCUGAUGGAUAAAAAAGAAUAAAUACAUUCAGACCAAACACAUCUGUUUGUUUACAGUUUAAAUAAAGUUAUCAGGAGACGGACAUGAGAACCAAACACCGUUAAAGACUCUGAUGAAAACCUUC